Long non-coding RNA from Andrographis paniculata, 482 nucleotides. RefSeq lists it as uncharacterized. The record is from RefSeq and is a predicted model, not a curated record. Lineage: Eukaryota; Viridiplantae; Streptophyta; Magnoliopsida; Lamiales; Acanthaceae. The transcript has 2 exons.
UCACCGUCAAAGCUUCUUCCUCAUUCAGAGCAUUUUCUAUAAGAAAUACUACGCUGGGCUUGGCGCAGUUCUCUCCUCUUCAUCCGAGACAGCAUUUCAAAGAGUGAUUCUUCUCGGAGGGCGUUCAGGGGUAUACUUGCUUGCACAGAGUGAUGAUAUCUUGUAUGAUUCUCCAUAGUGGCGGUAACUCAGCUCUUUACAGUUCAACUGUCUCGACUGCCAUUUUUGGUUCAACUGCAGUUUAAUUUGGUGCAAGCACAGACUGUAUACCGUUUUUUGCCUUUCUAUGGUGGUUAGUUCAAGAUGCAAGCACAGAUUAGCGAUGUUAAAUCGGAUCAAGUAUAAUGGUAGGUAGCUAGAUUACACUGUCGCGUUUCGAGUCGAAUUUGAAGCUUAUAUUGACAAUAGUAAGAAUUAGAAUGGUAAAAACACAUGUUUAGGAGUUCCAAUUUCAGUAUCUAUGGCAACGAUUUGAUUGAAAA